This 1503-nucleotide ribosomal RNA is filed under the name Triticum aestivum (bread wheat). RNAcentral's name for it is "partial small subunit ribosomal RNA". Lineage: Eukaryota; Viridiplantae; Streptophyta; Magnoliopsida; Poales; Poaceae. The record is from RNAcentral.
AUGCAAAGCGAAAUCUGGCUGCUAUGGGCGACGCUUUCCGCCGCGCUCCUUUACUACCUGAGGAACGUAGCCCGCCGGGGCACCGGACGGCUACCUCCGGGUCCCAGGCCGCUCCCGGUCCUCGGCAACCUACUGGACCUACGAGGCAACCUCCACCACACGCUGGCGCGUCUCGCGCUCGCCCAUGGCCCUGUAAUGAUGCUCAAGCUUGGCAUCACGGCCACAGUUGUAGUCUGCUCGCGUGACGCCGCGAGGGAGGCCUACACCAAGUACGACCGGCACCUCGCCGGGCGUGCCAUUCCGGACGUGGCAAACGCUCUCGGCAACUCCAAGCGGUCCAUGAUAUGGCUGCCAGGCUCUGACCCGCUCUGGCAGACACUGCGUGGCAUCGUGGCCUCGCACAUAUUCUCCCCCCGCGGCCUCGCCAUGGUGCGUGGCGUACGCGAGCGCAAGGUGCGCGACAUGCUGGUCUACUUCCGCCACCGUGCAGGUCAAGAAGUGGACGUCGGGCAUGGCGUGUAUGGGGGCGUGCUGAACCUCAUGUCGAGCGCCUUCUUCUCUGUGGAUGUGGUCGACCUGGGCGGCGAGUCCGCCCAUGGGUUACGGGAACUGGUGGAGGACAUCAUCACGGCUCUCGCGAAGCCCAAUGUCUCUGACAUCUUCCCUUUCCUCCGGCCACUCGACUUGCAAGGGUGGCGUCGAUGGGUGGCGGGGCGCUACGGGAAAGUCUUCGGCAUACUUGAUGACAUAAUUGGCCGACGUUUGUCUUUGCCAGGUGCCCUAACCACCAAGGGCAAGCACAAGCACGGCGACUUCCUGGACUCGCUGCUGGAGCUCGUUUCCAUAGGCAAGAUCGGCCGCGACAUGGCGACAACCAUGCUGUUCGACGUCUUCGCCGCCGGGACCGACACAAUCGCCAUCACCAUAGAGUGGGCGAUGGCCGAGCUGCUUCGGAACCCGCGCGUCAUGGCCAAGGUGCGCGCGGAGAUGGACGUCAAACUCGGCGGCAAGGACACCAUCGAGGAGCCCGACGCAGCGAACCUGCCCUACCUACAGGCCGUGGUAAAGGAGGUGAUGCGACUGCACCCGGUGUCGCCGAUUCUGUUGCCUCACCAGGCCGUAGAGGACGGCGUGGAGAUUGGUGGGUACACCGUGCCCAAGGGCUCCAGGGUAAUCUUCAACGUGUGGGCGAUAAUGCGGGACCCGGCGGCAUGGGAGAGGCCCGACGAGUUUGUGCCGGAGAGGUUCCUCGACAUGGCGGAUAUGGUGGACUUCCGGGGCAAGCACUUCCAGUUCAUACCGUUCGGCUCCGGCCGGCGGCUUUGCCCCGGGUUGCCGAUGGCGGAGCGGGUCGUGCCUUUCAUCCUGGCGUCGCUGCUGCACGCGUUUGAGUGGCGGCUCCCGGACGGCGUGUCCGCCGAUGAGUUGGACGUGUCCGAGAAAUUUACCACCGUCAACGCGCUCGCGGUCCCUCUCAAGGCCUUGCCCUUCGUGCUCACCUAA